GACGAACGCUGGCGGCGUGCUUAACACAUGCAAGUCGAACGGAAAGGCCCUGCUUUUGUGGGGUGCUCGAGUGGCGAACGGGUGAGUAACACGUGAGUAACCUGCCCUUGACUUUGGGAUAACUUCAGGAAACUGGGGCUAAUACCGGAUAGGAGCUCCUGCUGCAUGGUGGGGGUUGGAAAGUUUCGGCGGUUGGGGAUGGACUCGCGGCUUAUCAGCUUGUUGGUGGGGUAGUGGCUUACCAAGGCUUUGACGGGUAGCCGGCCUGAGAGGGUGACCGGCCACAAUGGGACUGAGAUACGGCCCAGAAUCCUACGGGAGGCAGCAGUGGGGAAUAUUGCACAAUGGGCGGAAGCCUGAUGCAGCAACGCCGCGUGCGGGAUGACGGCCUUCGGGUUGUAAACCGCUUUCGCCUGUGACGAAGCGUGAGUGACGGUAAUGGGUAAAGAAGCACCGGCUAACUACGUG
Molecule: ribosomal RNA, 468 nt
Filed under: uncultured bacterium
Lineage: Bacteria
Description: partial 16S ribosomal RNA
Rfam family: Bacterial small subunit ribosomal RNA
Source: RNAcentral